AGUGAACGCUGGCGGCAGGCCUAACACAUGCAAGUCGAGCGGCAGCGGGUCCUUCGGGAUGCCGGCGAGCGGCGGACGGGUGAGGAAUACAUCGGAAUCUGCCCUGUCGUGGGGGAUAACCUAGGGAAACUUAGGCUAAUACCGCAUACGACCUACGGUUGAAAGCGGGGGAUCGCAAGACCUCGCGCGACAGGAUGAGCCGAUGUCCGAUUAGCUAGUUGGCGGGGUAAAGGCCCACCAAGGCGACGAUCGGUAGCUGGUCUGAGAGGAUGAUCAGCCACACUGGGACUGAGACACGGCCCAGACUCCUACGGGAGGCAGCAGUGGGGAAUAUUGGACAAUGGGCGCAAGCCUGAUCCAGCAAUGCCGCGUGGGUGAAGAAGGCCUUCGGGUUGUAAAGCCCUUUUGUCCGGGAAGAAAUCGUCUGGGCUAAUCCCCCGGGCGGAUGACGGUACCGGAAGAAUAAGCACCGGCUAACUUCGUG
Molecule: ribosomal RNA, 484 nt
Filed under: uncultured bacterium
Lineage: Bacteria
Description: partial 16S ribosomal RNA
Rfam family: Bacterial small subunit ribosomal RNA
Source: RNAcentral